GGUGAGAUGGCCGAGUUGGUUAUGGCGCCAGGUUAAGGUCACCUUAGCAUCAUUCCUGGUGGAGCAAUCCUCAUGGGUUCGAAUCCCAUUCUCAUCA
Transfer RNA from Beauveria bassiana D1-5, 97 nucleotides. It matches the Rfam family "tRNA". From Rfam's summary of the family: Transfer RNA (tRNA) molecules are approximately 80 nucleotides in length. Their secondary structure includes four short double-helical elements and three loops (D, anti-codon, and T loops). Further hydrogen bonds mediate the characteristic L-shaped molecular structure. tRNAs have two regions of fundamental functional importance: the anti-codon, which is responsible for specific mRNA codon recognition, and the 3' end, to which the tRNAs corresponding amino acid is attached (by aminoacyl-tRNA synthetases). tRNAs cope with the degeneracy of the genetic code in two manners: having more than one tRNA (with a specific anti-codon) for a particular amino acid; and 'wobble' base-pairing, i.e. permitting non-standard base-pairing at the 3rd anti-codon position. The record is from Rfam. Lineage: Eukaryota; Fungi; Ascomycota; Sordariomycetes; Hypocreales; Cordycipitaceae.